Long non-coding RNA from Sciurus carolinensis (gray squirrel), 1040 nucleotides. RefSeq lists it as uncharacterized. The record is from RefSeq and is a predicted model, not a curated record. NCBI's taxonomy places the organism in Eukaryota, Metazoa, Chordata, Mammalia, Rodentia, Sciuridae. The transcript has 4 exons.
GCGCGUACCGGAUUCUCCAGCAGGCUCUCCAUGCCGCCCGCCGCCGCCUGCGCCCUGGCAGCGCCUCGGCAGGCGGCGGAGAGCGCGAGGGCGCGCAGGAGCCGAGCAGCCCCAGCGGUCGGCUCGCCUCCCUCUCAGGCGGGCCCGGCCUCCCUCCCCUGCCUGCUGCCGGUGCCGCGUCACCGCCACACAGACAUUCACACACGCACCAAGGGGCGGGACCGCGGCGCCAGGUCCCACCCACCCUCCCACAUCUCGGCUUGUGAGGAGGCUCUGCUUCCCGCAGGGCAGAGAGGAGAGAAGAGAGGCGAGUGAGAGAAUGUGCGUGUGACCCCAGGGGUCGGAGCAGGGGUGAGGAAACGGAACAAAUGAAGGGGAUAGAGAUGGAUGAGGCCAUGAGGACAGAAAGGAUUUCAACAGGUUGGCAGAGCAGGGAAACAGAAGAUGAGGAAGAUAUGCCAGGUAGCAGAAGAACACCAACGAAUGAAAAUAGACCCUUGGUUUCAUCUAAUUUGGCAGGGUGGCCCAUCAGAUUCCCUGUCCAACUGGUGUUCCCCCAGGAUAAGUAUAUUUAUGGAUAUCACAUACCCAGUGAACUGCAUCAGCCAAGCCCACCUGGUGAAUGAUCUUCAAAUAUUGUUCUGUAAAGAAUGAAUGAUUCAAGUGUAUCCACAGCUGAGGCAACAGUUGGAGAUCAGAGUACCCAAGAGGAUAUUCCGACUAAAGAAUGAAGUUUGGAGAUGGAACAAGGCACAAGAAACACUUUUCUUCUGACUUUUCUUUGCUUGCCUAGUUGAUUGGUUGUCCAAGAAUUGGGUGCUUGGAAAGACCAUACUAUUUUUAUAAGUGGAGCAUAAUUAUUGAUGGGGCUUGUUUAAAAUGCAGAUAGCUGAGCCCCAUAUCAAUUCUGCUGUAUUGGAAUCACUAGGAAUGGGACCCAAAUGUUUUUGUUUUUUAAAAUUUUAUCUUUUAUUUUAAAAAAUCAACUUUAUUGAGGCAUAAUCUAUACACACUAAUAUGCUUUCAUUUUGAGCACACAG